CAGGGAGGUACCAGUGUCAAUGAUGGCCUGGCAGCCACCAGAGCAGGCCACAGUCUGUCCAUUGAUGGUAACACUGUGAGGAGGAACAGCAGAAGUUGGAUUACCGUUUGCUGUCAGUAUUGCAAGGGUUUUGUUUACCUCAACAGUGUCACUGGCCAGAUAUCCAGUCAUGCUGCCAGUGCCAUACUGGAUGGACAGAGGCUGGUUGCCCCAGUGGAAGGUGGAGGACUGCUGUGGGUUGAAUCUCCUGUGGUUCUCUGCAGAGGAACAACUUCUCUUUCAAACGUGCAUUUUACGACAAUGUCAAGCAACUUUGGAGCCUUUCUAGUGAUGGGAGAGCGUGAUGCAGGUUGGAUGGAUGCAGAUUAGAGACAUAACAUUUCUCCCCACCUUGUGGCUGAAGGGGUGACAUUCAUCCCCUUCCACACCCCUUGGGACGCACAUCCUCAGACCUCUCAGCCACAGACUGACGGCACAGCAAAGACCAAACCCACACUGCACAUCUCUCUCACAGGCCUGCGGGACAGACAGGGGGGAGACGAGGUGAUACAGGUACAGACAGGAGAGAAUAAAAGAGGCAGAGGGGCAGAGAGGAGGGGAGUUCUUUUUAUUUAUGCUAAUAGAGAUGCCCUUUUAUGUUUGAAUCUAUUUCAUUUUUAUUUAUCGUAAUAGAGAUGCCCUCUCAUGUUCGUACAGUGAAAGCCAUUUUAUCCAUUGCCUGUCAUCUCCCUAAUCCAUUUACAAAUGAAUAUCAAUCAGAGGACUGAGAUAAUUUCCUCUCAUUUUUCCAGUGGACUUAAAGCGGAGGAGGAUGCGGUCUCCCGUCUGUCAUGUGUAAUUAAAUUUUACAAAAUUAUCCACCAAAGCAAGCUGUCCUAUUGGCACUAAGAUCUAUUUUAUGUAUAUUUGUAAUUUGAAUAUGAGAAAAUCAAACCAAAAAUCAAAAUACAAAGGCUAGUUGUAUUAAAAUAGAGUUCAUAUAGAAGUUUUGAGUGCAAGUACAGCACCCUUCCCCUGAUAAAGAGUGGAACAAUUAGUCAAUUCAUUGAUCCGUCAGUUGCCAAUAGUUCUUUUAUCAAGCAAACAUUUCAAACAUUUGUCACCACAUGAUUCUCAGAUAUGAAGAUUUGCUGUUUUCUCUGUUUUAUAUUGUUGUAAAUUUAACAUCUUUGGGUUUUAAACGGUUGAGGCAAAACAAGCAAUUCAAAGACAUCAUCUGAGGAUCAGGAAACUUAUUAUCAGCAUUUGUUGCUAAUUUACAUGUUACAGAGUAACUUGAUUGAUAGAUUAGUUGAAAAAAUAAUGAGCAGACUAUCCAGUAAUGAAAAUAAUUGUUAACUGCAGCCAUAGUAAAUGAGUAAGUCAUUUUAUUUUGAGUGUAAAAUCACAUUGUCUCAAUACAUUUUACAAAAAAUGACAAUUACAGAAAGAAAUGAUAUCUAAUCAAGUAGAUAAGUGUAAGCAGAGUAAUUAAUCAUUGAGUGAUUAGACACUUCUCUAAAAACUGAUUGGACAUUCAUUUAAAACCUGAUAAAAUAACAGAGCAGAGUGUAGCAGAGCCCAAAACGUCUCACUCACCCCUGUGAUGACGGCUCCUCUGGACCAGCUCAGAGACACCAGGAGGAAGGACAGCAGCACCGCUGUGAAGCCCAUGACAGCAACAGGAGAACUGGACUCUCGCAACCCCCUCAACACUGGACAACAACUGUUAACGGACUCUCUGGCACUUCACACUGGAUCCCCGUCUCUCCAGUCAGUCAUGAAGGUUCCCAGUAACUCCUCAGAGGGGGGGAGCCACACUCUCUCCCUCUCUUUAUCCACCUCCGACCCCCACCCAGUACUCCCUCCCUCCUUCCUUCCCUCCCCACGUCUGAGAUCUGUCCACACCCUCUCUGACUGUCUCUUCAGACGCUUCGUCAUCUUACUCAUCUGGAUGAUGGCUGAUGGAGGGUCACCGUAGCCCUCUCUACCUGUAGAUCUUUGCCUCUUACAUAAUGUCGGGUUUGAUCAUACAUCUGCUCAAGGCAAGCAACUGACAGAGUUCCCAUGAUUCAAGUGGUUCAAACUAACCCCGAAAAUAUGGAAAACCACUCCACAACUGAUGCCAUUCAUAUGAACUAAAAUGAAUCUGACACCUCUUUGUGAGAAAAAGGGCACAGGUGCCGUGAAAUCCCGAGUUAUUUGUCAGUCAGAGGCAGCCAGGGCAAAACAAAUCAAGAUCAAAGCCGUAUAACACAUUUACUGAAAUUACCACAGGCUGACUCACAGACUGGGCUUCAUGUAAAGCAUUUAUAGGCUGGAAAGUGAUAUUCUUUAUUUCAUUAUAGGAUAUGUGUGCUAUGAUGCCAUGUACUGUGACAGCUGUCACCCUAGCUGUACAUCACCAGUUUAUCCACACUGAGAGAAUAAGGCGUUAUAAUAAGGUUACAAACUGAUCUGCUUUGUCACACAAGCUACUCUCUAAGUGCUGUGAGGUAUAUGAUGUACAGGAUCUCUUUAGUGAACAACUUAAACAUCACUGUCAACAGUGACAUGUAUUAUUUCUGUUCAGAUUUGGUCUUUUUGAGUAAAAGAAUAACUUGAUUAGGUUUGUUUCCAGGUCUAAAA
Long non-coding RNA from Lates calcarifer (barramundi perch), 2607 nucleotides. RefSeq lists it as uncharacterized. The record is from RefSeq and is a predicted model, not a curated record. NCBI's taxonomy places the organism in Eukaryota, Metazoa, Chordata, Actinopteri, Centropomidae. The transcript is spliced from 3 exons.